Molecule: long non-coding RNA, 213 nt
Filed under: Homo sapiens (human)
Lineage: Eukaryota; Metazoa; Chordata; Mammalia; Primates; Hominidae
Description: HSALNT0069344
Source: RNAcentral
CUUUGUUGUAACAACACUAGGAAACUAAUACAAUUAGAACACAAUUAGCUUAUCCUAAAGAGCCAUAGAAAAAAAAAAUCCAAAAAGCUAUACUCUGAGUGUGGGGCUGGAUCUAGGAGUCUUUAACUCUGGGCAUUAAACUUGAGAGGUAAAAGGAAGUUCAUGAUUACUGACUGGUUCACCAGGAUAAGAUAUUCCUUAAGAAUCUAAAAA